AUGUGUUCUAUUUGUGAGGUUCAAGAUGAAGACAUCUUUCAUGCUCUAGUGAGUUGUUCUAAAGCUCGUGCUCUUCGAAUAGCCGUGAGAGAGUGGUGGAAUAUUCCGGAUGAAGAGUUCUUCAAGUGCACAGGACCAACUUGGUUAUUGAUUUUGCUGGCACAAUUGGGUUUGCGGCAAAGGGAGCAAAUCUUGUUUCUUUUCUGGCGAGCAUGGCAUUUGAGAAAUGAUUUAAUUUUUGGGAAGGGGAAAGAAUCCGUUAAUGCCUCUGCACAUUUUGUGGACAAUUUUUGGACCACUUUCACGUCCAAUCAUGACACUGCUCAAUUGGAUGCUAGCAACAAAGGUUAUAUCAAGAUCAAUGUUGACGCCAGUUUUGUGGAGAGUACUAAUGCAGCCAGUGUGGGGGCGUAG
Molecule: ribosomal RNA, 414 nt
Filed under: Triticum aestivum (bread wheat)
Lineage: Eukaryota; Viridiplantae; Streptophyta; Magnoliopsida; Poales; Poaceae
Description: partial small subunit ribosomal RNA
Source: RNAcentral